AUUUUUAUAUAUAUAUUUUCUUACACCUUUUCACGUGAAUAACAAUUAGGUUAUUCACGAAAGAUAUAUAUGUUCAUGUAUGUUUGUUCACGGUGGAAUGACCUUAAUUUUUUAUGAAAGGUAUUUUAGAAUUUAUGGGAUUUUGUAAUGUUUGUUCAAACAAAGUCUAAUUGUGGUUUAAAGACUUUCAUGAUAACCUUUUACGAAAUCCAAAUCCUAGUAGUUUAAUCUGAUAAACCCAGAUAAUAUUAAUGGAUAAUGUAG
RNAcentral lists this long non-coding RNA (264 nucleotides) under Panax ginseng (ginseng). RNAcentral describes it as "long non-coding RNA (PGIN_LNC019293)". Lineage: Eukaryota; Viridiplantae; Streptophyta; Magnoliopsida; Apiales; Araliaceae. The record is from RNAcentral.